GUGGGGAAUAUUGGACAAUGGGCGAAAGCCUGAUCCAGCCAUGCCGCGUGUGUGAAGAAGGUCUUCGGAUUGUAAAGCACUUUAAGUUGGGAGGAAGGGCAGUAAGUUAAUACCUUGCUGUUUUGACGUUACCAACAGAAUAAGCACUGGCUAACUUCGUGCCAGCAGCCGCGGUAAUACGAAGGGUGCAAGCGUUAAUCGGAAUUACUGGGCGUAAAGCGCGCGUAGGUGGUUCAGCAAGUUGAAGGUGAAAUCCCCGGGCUCAACCUGGGAACUGCAUCCAAAACUACUGAGCUAGAGUACGGUAGAGGGUAGUGGAAUUUCCUGUGUAGCGGUGAAAUGCGUAGAUAUAGGAAGGAACACCAGUGGCGAAGGCGACUACCUGGACUGAUACUGACACUGAGGUGCGAAAGCGUGGGGAGCAAACAGGAUUAGAUACCCUUGUAGUCC
RNAcentral lists this ribosomal RNA (450 nucleotides) under uncultured bacterium. RNAcentral describes it as "bacterial SSU rRNA". It matches the Rfam family "Bacterial small subunit ribosomal RNA", at positions 354 to 796 of the family's 1533-position model. The record is from RNAcentral.